Long non-coding RNA from Oncorhynchus tshawytscha (Chinook salmon), 8800 nucleotides. NCBI's taxonomy places the organism in Eukaryota, Metazoa, Chordata, Actinopteri, Salmoniformes, Salmonidae. The record is from Ensembl.
UUUUUUUUACAUAUUCAAAUCAUAGUGUAAAAGCAGGUGAGCUAGUUCUACUCUUUUUGGCCAUUUUCUGGUGGUUUGUGGUGGAAAAUGUAGUGCAUCGAGUGCAACAUGUCAACCCUGUUACCCAAAGAUAGAUAGGCUCUAAAUAUUGUUUUUUUACAUUGUGAAGCCUGCAUUAAGCUGCCCUUUGAGAUUAAAAACCUCAACUUUUACGGUCAACCUGUUACUUUAAUGGCACUUAGUAUAGUAUACAGUACCAGUCAAAAGUUUGGACACCUACUUAUUCAAGAAAUGUAUUUAUUUGGACUAUUUUCUACAUUGUAUAAUAAUAAUAGUGAAGACAUCAACACUAUGAAAUAAAACAUCAAAUCAUAAGCAAAAAAGUGUUAAAUCAAAAUAUAUUUUUGAUUUGUUUAACACUUGCUGGCCUUCUUGGCCGAGUUGCAAAGAAAAAGCCAUAUAUCAGACUGAACAAUAAAAAUAAAAGACUAACAUGGGCAAAAGAACAAAGACACUAGACAGAGGAACUCUGCCUAGAAGGCAAACAUCCCGGAGUCGCGUCUUCACUGUUGACGUUAAAGACUGGUGUUUUGUGGGUACUAUUUAAUGAAGCUGCCAGGAGAGGACUUGUGAGGCGUCUGUUUUUCAAACUAGACACUCUAAUGUACUUGUCCUCUUGCUCAGUUGUGCACCGGGGCCUCCCACUCCUCUUUCUAUUCUGGUUAGAGACAGUUUGUGCUGUUCUGUGAAGAGAGUAGUACACAGCGUUGUACGAGAUAUUCCGUUUCUUGGCAAUUUCUCACAUGGAAUAGCCUUCAUUUCUCAGAACAAGAAUAGACUGACGAGUUUCAGAAGAAAGUUCUUUGUUUCUGACCAUUUUGAACCUGUAAUCAAACCCCAAAAUGCUGAUGCUCCAGAUAUUGAACUAGUCUAAAGAAGGCCAGUUUUAUUGCUUCUUUAAUCAGAACAACAGUUUUCAGCUGUGAUAACAUAAUUGCAAAAGGGUUUUGUAAUGAUCAAUUAGCCUUUUAAAAUUAUAAAUUUGGAUUAGCUAACACAAUGUGCCAUUGGAACACAGGAGUGAUGGUUGCUGAUAAAUAAACGCCUAUGUAAAUAUUCUAUCAAAAAUAAGCCAUUUCCAGCUACAAUAGUAAUUUACAACAUUAACAAUGUCUACACUGUAUUUCUGAUCAAUUUGAUGUUAUUUUAAUGGUCCAAAAAAAUCUGUUUCUAUCAAAAACAAGGACAUUUCUAAGUGACCCCAAAAUGUUGAACAGUAGUAUAAAUAUAAAAUUAUUGGGGGGGGAUGAAAACUAGCUGUUAAAAGGCAGAGAGGUUUGGAACUCUGUUAUUGGUCUAUUAACCAAUUUACCGCACGUUGAUGUCACCAUGGAAAGCCGCAACUCCCGCCUAUGUAAACCUGCUGAUUAGAAAGUCCUGUGUAGAUUCUAUUUUCAACCAGCAAGUACAUGUCUGUAAGUUGUUACAGUAAGUCUGAUAUGUCUCAAACAUUGUUUCCCCCUGCUGCUGUCUUGGUUGGACCAGGUCUCUCUUGAAAAAUAGAUUAGAAUAGAGAAAUCAGGAAAUAACACUGAUCAAAUAUGUUUUAACACUAGUUUUGUCAGCUGUUGUACAGUAUGAUUUAAAACACAGGAAACCUGAAUUUUGAAUGCACUGGGCCUAUAAAAUUAGGUGAAAUGAAUGGUUGUUUUGUAACCAAGUUAACUACCCAAAAUGUACUCUAUUCGUGGAAAGACUCCUACAUUAUUUUCAAAAAACUUAUUUUGACAGGAAAUGGUUUCAACAAGUCAUUCCAUUAUACUCACUAAUAAUUAUAUGACAGUAAAAUGCAUGUGAAUGAUUAUAUUAUAUUAUUCCAAGACAUGCAUGUUUCCUGUCAUAGUGACAGAAAGACACUCAGUAGGUAUGAGACCACCUUCUGCCUUAACUCCUGGUGACAUACCUCUUGAUGAACAUGACCUGUGCUCUGGAAGAGAAACAAAUUCAGCCGUCUCCUGUUCCCCAGGAAAACAAAGACAACACCACCAUGCUCCACCCAGAAACAAAUACUUUGAUAUCCAACCUCAUUUGCCAAUUUCAAACUUUCCAAAAACUCCAAAGACUGCAUACACUUACUUAGCCUACUUGGUUACAGGAUCUAAGCAAGAGCUAAAGAAAGAAGGCUUGGGGGGGGGAAGAGAGAUGUUGGCAGCCGUGAUGGGUCUUGAGAAGAAUGCACCAGCGUUAUCACUGUGGGUUAUGCAAGAACAGCUUGGUGGAAACCUUUGCCUGGUACAGCGCUGGGUCCCAGCCUCCACGCAGCCAAGGAAUCCUGCCCUGAAGAAUUCCUAAUUGCCCUUCCUGAACGGGAGGCUGUCAGAGAAGUCGAACUCACCCAGGGUCUUCUGCCUGGGUUAUCACACAUGCCCCACGGGCCUCCCUUUUUUCCCAACUUUACUAUUUUUAGAAUUCAUGUCUAAGGCUUUAUUUUUAUUUUUGACAACUGCGAGCAUUAGGUGUAUGAGAGGCAUGAGGAUUGACUCCAUCAUUGUACUGUAUAGCAUGAGCCGAAAACCCUUAAAAGCAUUUACAGUUAGAUAGGGACUUUCCCUCCCGCUGAACUGCAGUGUGUUGCCAUUUAAUAUAAACCGCAUGAUCACUAUCAUUGUAUAUAUAAUUCCUUCUUGCAUCUACACUCUCUCCUCCUCUCACCUUUUCCCUUCUCGUGUGGACUUCAGUGCACCUUACAACAGCUGUCUGUGACCAGAUGAAAAAACCUUUCCAAGCCAAACGCUACACACAGUCUACAUCUAUUUUCACCACAUUAAUGUCAUACUCAACAUAGGUACUAGAACUAACACAUUAGUAAAUCAUGCAGUACAGUGUACAGCAAGCAGUUUAGCAGUGCCAAUACAUUUAUCAAAUGAAAAGCUUACUUUGACUUGGAAGAGUUCCAGUGUUGGAUAGUCAUCGCCAGUUAGCUAACAUAGCAUCCCUUUGUUUGAGCAAGCUAAAUUAGCUAGCUGCAUUCACUAGUAAGUAAGUGAAAGUAAAAAAUAUGUACACUACCGUUCAAAAUUUGGGGUCACUUAGAAAUGUACUUGUUUUGAAAGAAAAACACAUUUUUUGUCCAUUAAAAUAACAUAAAAUUGAUAAGAAAUACAGUGUGGACAUGGUUAAUGUUGUAAAUAACUAAUGUAGCUGGAAACUGCUGAUUUUUUUAUGGAAUAUCUACAUAGACGUACAGAGGCCCAUUAUCAGCAACGAUCACUCCUGUGUUCCAAUGUGACGUUGUGUUAGCUAAUCCAAGUUGAUCAUUUUAAAAGGCUAAUUGAUAAUUAGAAAAUCAAUUUGCAAUUAUGUUAGCACAGCUGAAAGCUGAUGUCCUGAUUAAAGAAGCAAUACAACUGGCCUUCUUUAGACUAGUUGAGUAUCUGGAGCAUCAACAUUUGUGGGUUCGAUUACAGGCUCAAAAGUGCUGUACAGAAACCCAGCCUAAAACCCCAAACAGCCAGUAAUGCAGGUGUAGAAGGACAAUGUCUAGGAAAAACUCCCUAGAAAGGCCAGAACCUAGGAAAAAACCUAGAGAGGAACCAGGCUACGAGGGUUGGCCAGUCCUCUUGGCUGUGCCGGGUGGAGAUAACAGAAAAUGGUCAAGAUGUUCAAAUGUUCAUAGACGACCAGCAGGGUUAAAUAAUAAUAAUCACAGUGGUUGUUGAGGGUGCAAAAGGUCAGCAUCUCAGGAGUAAAUGUUAGUUGGCUUUUCAUAGCCGAUCAUUCAGAGUAUCUCUACCACUCCUGCUGUCUCUAGAGAAUUGAAAACAGCAGGUCUGGGACAGGUAGCACAUCCGAUGAACAGGUCAGGGCAGAACAGUUGAAACUGGAGCAGCAGCACGACCAGGUGGACUGGGGACAGCAAUGAGUCAUCAGGUCAGGUAGCCCUGAGGUAUGGUCCUAGGGCUCAGGUCCUCCGAGAGAGAGAAAGAAAAAAAGAGAGAAAGAGAGAAAAAGAGAGAGAAUUAGAGAGAGCAUACUUAAAUUCACACAGGACACCGGAUAAGACAGGAGAAAUACUUCAGAUAUAACAGACUGACACUAGCCCUCCGACACAAACAUCUGCAGCAUAAAUACUGGAGGCUGAGAAAGGAGGGGUCGGGAGACACUGUGGCCCCAUCUGACAAUACCCCCGGACAGGGCCAAACAGGCAGGAUAAAACCUCACACACUUUGCCAAAGCACAGCCCCACACCACUAGAGGGAUAUCUUCAACCACCAACUUACCAUCCUAAAACAAGGCCGGGUACAGCCCACGAAGAUCUCCCCCACGGCACAACCCAAGGGGGGGCGCCAACCCGGACAGGAAGCUCACGAUAGUGACUCAAACCACUCAAGUGACGCACCCCUCCUAGGGACGGCAUGGAAGAGCACCAGUAAGCCAGUGACUCAGCCUCUGUAAUAGGGUUAGAGGCAGAGAAUCCCAGUGGAGAGAGGGGAACAGGCCAGGCAGAGACAGCAAGGGCGGUUUGUUGCUCCAGUGCCUUUCCGUUCACCUUCACACUCCUGGGCCAGACUACACUCAAUCAUAGGACCUACUGAAGAGAUGAGUCUUCAAUAAAGACUUAAAGGUUGAGACCGAGUCUGCGUCCCUCACAUUGAUAGGCAGACCAUUCCAUAACAUUGGAGCUCUGCCUCCAGCUCCAUUCCAUAACAUUGGAGCUCUGCCUCCAGCUGUUUGCUUAGAAAUUCUAGGGACAGUUAGCCUGUGUCUUGUGAUCGUAGCGUACGUGUAGGUAUGUACGGCAGGACCAAAUCGGAAAGAUAGGUAGGAGCAAGCCCAUGUAAUGCUUUGUAGGUUAGCAGUAAAACCUUGCAAUCAGCACUUGCCGUAAUAGGAAGCGAGUGUAGAAAAUCUAGCACUGGAGUAAUAUGAUCAAAUUUGUGGGUUCUAGUCAAGAUUCCAGCAGCUGUGUUUAGCACUAACUAAAGUUUAUUUAGUGCUUUAUCCUGGUAUUCAGAAUGUAGAGCAUUGCAGCAGUCUAACCUAGAAGUAACAAAAGCAUGGAUUAAUUUUUCUGCAUCAUUUUGGGACAGAAAGUUUCUGAUUUUUGCAAUGUUACAUAGAUGGAAAAAAGCUGUCCUUCAAACAGCCUUGAUAUGUUUGUCAAAAGAGAGAUCAGGGUCCAGAGUAACGCUGAGGUCCUUCACAGUUUUAUUUGAGACGACUGUACAACCAUCAAGAUUAAUUUUGUUUCAUUGAUUGGACUCCAGGUUAGCUGGAGUCCAAUCUUCAACAGAAGAUCUCUUUGUUUCUUGGAACCUAGAACAAGCAUCUCUGUUUUGUCCGAGUUUAAAAGUAGAACAUUUGUCGACAUCCACUUCCUUAUGUCUGAAACACAGGCUUCCAGGGAGGGCAAUUUUGGGGCUUCACCAUGUUUCAUCGAAAUGUACAGCUGUGUGUCAUCCUCAUAGCAGUGAAAGUUAACAUUAUGAUUCUGAAUGACAUCACCAAGAGGUAAAAUAUAUAGUGAAAACAAUAGUGGUCCUAAAACGGAACCUUGAGGAACACCAACAUUUACAGUUGAUUUGUCAAAGGACAAACCCUCCACAGAGACAAACUAAUAUCUGUACAAAAGAUAAGAUCUAAACCAGGCCAGAACUUGUCCGUGUAGACCAAUUUGGAUUUCCAAUCUCUCCAAAAUAAUGUGGUUAUCGAUGGUAUCAAAAGCAGCACUAAGGUCUAGGAGCACAAGGACAGAUGCAGAGCCUCGGUCUGACGCCAUUAAAAGGUAAUUUACCACCUUCACAAGUGCAGUCUCAGUGCUAUGAUCGGGUCUAAAACCGGACUGAAGCAUUUCGUAUACAUUGUUUGUCUUCAGGAAGGAAGUGAGUUGCUGCGCAACAGCUUUUUCAAAAAUGUAUGAGAGGAAUGGGGGAAUCGAUAUGGUCCGAUAGUUUUUAAAAUAUUUUCUGGGUCAAGGUUUGACUUUUUCAAGAGAGGCUUUAUUACUGCCACUUUUAGUGGGUUUGGUACACAUCCGGUGGAUAGAGAGACUAUAUUAUGUUCAACAUAGGAUGACCAAGCACAGGAAGCAGCUCUUUCAGCAGUUUAGUUGGAAUAGGGUCUAGUAUGCAGCUUGAAGGUUUAGAGGCCAUGAUUAUUUUCAUCAAUAUGUUGAGAAAUAUAGUACUAAAACACUUGAGUGUCUCCCUUGAUCCUAGGUCCUGGCAGAGUUUGCAGACUCAGGACAACUGAGCUUUGGAGGAAUAUGCAGGUUUAAAGAGGGGUCCGUAAUUUGCUUUCUUAUGAUCAUGAUCUUUUCCUCAAAGAAGUUGAUGAAUUUUUCACUGCUGAAGUGAAAGCCUCUCUUGGGGAAUGCUGCUUUUUAGUUAGCUUUGCGACCGUAUCAAAAAUAAAUAUUGGAUUGUUCUUAUUUUCCUCAUUAAGUUGGAAAAAUAGGAUGAUCGAGCAGCAGUGAGGGCUCUUCGAUACUGCACAGUACUGUCUUUCCAAGCUAGUCGAGAAGACUUCCAGUUUGGUGUAGCGCCAUUUCCGUUCCAAUUUUCUGGAAGCUUGCUUCAGAGCUCUGGUAUUUUCUGUAUACCAGGGAACUAGUUUCUUAUGACAAUUUUUGUUUGUUUUUAGGGGUGCAACUGCACCUAGGGUAUUGUGCAAGGUUAAAUUGAGUUCCUCAGUUAGAUGGUUAACUGAUUUUUGCAUUCUGACGUCCUUGGGUAGGUGGAGGGAGUCUGGAAGGGCAUCUAGGAAUCUCUGGGUUGCCCGAGAAUUUAUAGCACGACUUUUGAUGAUCCUUGGUUGGGGUCUGAGCAGAUUAUUUGUUGCGAUUGCAAAUGUAAUAAAAUGGUGGUCCGAUAGUCCAGGAUUAUGAGGAAAAACAUUAAGACCCACAACAUUUAUUCCAUGGGACAAAACUAGGUCCAGAGUAUGACUGUGGCAGUGAGUAGGUCCGGAGACAUGUUGCACAAAACAUACUGAGUCGAUGAUGGCUCCGAAAUCCUUUUGGAGUGGGUCUGUGGACUUUUCCAUGUGAAUAUUAAAGUCACCAAAAAUUUGAAUAUUAUCUGCCAUGACUACAAGGUCCGAUAGGAAUUCAGGGAACUCAGUGAGGAACGCUGUAUAUGGCCCUGGAGGCCUGUAAACAGUAGCUAUAAAAAGUGUUUGAGUAGGCUGCAUAGAUUUCAUGACUAGAAGCUCAACAGAAGAAAACGUUGUUUUUUUGUAAAUUGAAAUUUGCUAUCAUAAAUGUUAGCAACACCUCUGCCUUUGCGGGAUGAGAAGGGGAUAUGGUCACUAGUGUAACCAGGAGGUGAGGCUUCAUUUAACACAGUAAAUUCAUCAGGCUUAAGCCAUGUUUCAGUCAGGCCAAUCACAUCAAGAUCAUGAUUAGUGAUUAGUUCAUUGACUAUAACUGCCUUGGAAGUGAGGGAUCUAACAUUAAGUAGUCCUAUUUUGAGAUGUGAGGUGUCACAAUCUCUUUCAAUAAUGGCAGGAAUGGAGGAGGUCUUUAUUAUUCCAGUGAGAUUGCUAAGGCGAGCACCACCAUGUUUAGUUUUGCCCAACCUAGGUCGAGGCACAGACACAGUCUCAAUGGUGAUAGCUGAGCUGACUACACUGACUGUGCUAGUGGCAGACCCCACUAAGCUGGCAGCCUUGCUAACAGCCUGCUGCAUGGCCUACACCCUCUCUCAUUGCAGAGCUAUGGAAGGGAGCUACUACUCCCUUCACAGAACAGCACAAACUGGCUCUAACAAGAAUAGAAAGAGGAGUAGGAGGCCCCAGUGGCCAACUGAGCAAAAGGACAAGUACAUUAGAGUGUCUAGUUUGAGAAACAGAAGCCUCACAAGUCCUCAACUGGCAGCUUCAUUAAAUAGUACCCACAAAACACCAGUCUCAACGUCAACAGUGAAGAGGCGACUCCGGGAUGCUGUCCUUCUAGGCUACAGAUACUCACCUAGUCUAAAGAAGGCCAGUUGUAUUGCUUCCUUAAUCAGCACAUCAGUUUUCAGCUGUGCUAACAUAAUUGCAAAAGGGUUUUCUAAUGAUCAAUUAGACUUUUAAAUUGAUCAACUUGGAUUAGCUAGCACAACGUGCCAUUGGAACACAGGAGUGAUGGUUGCUAAUAAUGGGCCUCUGUACACCUAAGUAGAUAUUCCAUUUAAAAAAUUUCAAAAAUGCCGUUUUUAGCAACCAAAGUAAUUUACAACAUUAACAAAGUCUACACUGUAUUGGAGAAUGGUACACUGGCAGUCAUGAGUCAUGACCGCAGUAAAAUUCUACAUGACAGUUGAGUCAUGGUCAUCUCCUUUUGCGCACUCUGGGAAUGCAUUAUAAGUAGCCCACCCAACUCGAUCAUCAGGUCGCUAAUGGCCUGGGACUCAGGGCUCUAUUGUCCCUCUAACAUCAAUGCAAAAGCAUUCGAAAAUCACAAACACUUACCAAAACAGUAUGUGCUUUUAAAACUCAUCUCAUUGUGAUUGAUCAAUUUGAAGAUAGAAGUUCAACAAUAUAGGUUGAAACUGAAUGGAAAACAUGGUCGUUGUGGAUGUUGUUUCAAAGCCUAACACAACGAAAUGGACAGCGCUUUCUAAGGCGAUAAUUAAUUCAAAACACUAUAUGAGUCCAAGCCCGACAAAAAAUACAGAAAAAUAAUGAUUAUGCCGUAUAUUACACAUGCCAGAAUAACAUUCAAUAGUCUAGUACAACGGCAUUUUUUCCCUCAUAAUUAUUUAUAGACUGACACAUUACCUAUAGCUACAGAAUAUCUCACCAUCGUGAGUUUCCA